UACAGAGGUCUCAAGCGUUGUUCGGAUUCAUUGGGCGUAAAGGGUGCGUAGGCGGUCGCGUAAGUCAGGUGUGAAAUCUCAGGGCUCAACCCUGAAACUGCACUUGAUACUGCGUGGCUCGAGUACUGGAGAGGAGACUGGGAUUUACGGUGUAGCAGUGAAAUGCGUAGAUAUCGGAAGGAAGACCAGUGGCGAAGGCGAGUCUCUGGACAGGUACCGACGCUGAGGCACGAAAGUCAGGGGAGCAAACGGG
This 253-nucleotide ribosomal RNA is filed under the name uncultured bacterium. Its description in RNAcentral is "partial 16S ribosomal RNA". It matches the Rfam family "Bacterial small subunit ribosomal RNA", at positions 524 to 776 of the family's 1533-position model. The record is from RNAcentral.